UCUUAUCGAGAGUGGUCGAGGGACAGGCCCGAUGACACCCGGCAACCAAGCUGUAAGGUAUUGGUGCUAAAUCCUGCAAGAAAAAAUCUUGGAAGAUGAGA
This 101-nucleotide non-coding RNA is filed under the name chicken gut metagenome. RNAcentral's name for it is "SAM riboswitch (S box leader)". It matches the Rfam family "SAM riboswitch aptamer (S box leader)". From Rfam's summary of the family: The SAM riboswitch is found upstream of a number of genes which code for proteins involved in methionine or cysteine biosynthesis in Gram-positive bacteria. The SAM riboswitch acts at the level of transcription termination control. The record is from RNAcentral.